This 440-nucleotide ribosomal RNA is filed under the name uncultured bacterium. RNAcentral describes it as "partial 16S ribosomal RNA". It matches the Rfam family "Bacterial small subunit ribosomal RNA", at positions 338 to 795 of the family's 1533-position model. The record is from RNAcentral.
CCUACGGGUGGCAGCAGUGGGGGAUAUUGCACAAUGGGGGGAACCCUGAUGCAGCGACGCCGCGUGUGGGAAGACGGUCCUCUGGAUUGUAAACCACUGUCCCCAGGGAAGAAAAUGACGGUACCUGGGGAGGAAGCUCCGGCUAACUACGUGCCAGUAGACGCGGUACUACGUAGGGAGCGAGCGUUGUCCGGAAUUACUGGGUGUAAAGGGAGCGUAGGCGGGGAUGCAAGUUGGGUGUAAAAACUACCGGCUCAACUGGUAGUCGCCCUCAAAACUGCAGCUCUUGAGUGAAGUAGGGGCAGGCGGAAUGCCUAGUGUAGCGGUGAAAUGCGUAGAUAUUAGGAGGAACACCAGUGGCGAAGGCGGCCUGCUGGGCUUUUACUGACGCUGAGGCUCGAAAGUGUGGGGAGCAAACAGGAUUAGAUACCCCUGUAGUC